Salarias fasciatus (jewelled blenny) is the source of this 65-nucleotide small nucleolar RNA. The record is from Ensembl. Lineage: Eukaryota; Metazoa; Chordata; Actinopteri; Blenniiformes; Blenniidae.
GACAGUGAUGUAAAGGUCCUAUUCCAUUGCUGAAACGGCAGUGUGGACAAGUCCUGCCUGAUGUC